RNAcentral lists this ribosomal RNA (256 nucleotides) under uncultured bacterium. Its description in RNAcentral is "partial 16S ribosomal RNA". It matches the Rfam family "Bacterial small subunit ribosomal RNA", at positions 524 to 776 of the family's 1533-position model. The record is from RNAcentral.
UACGUAGGGGGCAAGCGUUGUCCGGAAUCAUUGGCGUAAAGAGCGUGUAGGCGGACUUAAAGGUCUGGUGUGAAAGCCCGGGGCUCAACCCCGGAGGGUCACUGGAAACCAUAAGUCUUUGAAUCUGGAAGAGGAGAGUGGAAUUCCUGGUGUAGCGGUGGAAUGCGCAGAUAUCGGGGAGGAACACCAAUUACGAAGGCAGCUCGCUGGGACGUCACUGACGCUGAGACGCGAAAAGCGUGGGGGAGCAAACAGG